RNAcentral lists this ribosomal RNA (1158 nucleotides) under Triticum aestivum (bread wheat). RNAcentral's name for it is "partial small subunit ribosomal RNA". Lineage: Eukaryota; Viridiplantae; Streptophyta; Magnoliopsida; Poales; Poaceae. The record is from RNAcentral.
AUGGCGCUGCAGUACGUGGAGGCGCAGCGGCAGGCGCGGCCGGACCUCGCCGACUGGUACGCCGACCUCGCCGACCUCUACCAGCGCAAGCUCUGGCACCAGCUCACCCUCAAGCUCGACCAAUUCCUCCAGAUCCCGGCCGCACAGACUGGCGACACGCUCAUACAGCUCUACAACAAUUUCAUCUCCGAUUUCGAAACAAAAAUCAAUUUGCUCAAACUCGCCCAGUUCGCGGUCAUAGGGUCGCGCCAAUAUCCCGACAAGGAUGCCGCCAUCACCUUCCUCGAGGGGAUAAUCACAAAGCUUCGUGAGACCAGGGAGCUGCGGAUCAAUGAGCCUAUCCUUCACGUCAAGAUGCAGAUCGCGGCAAUUCACCUCGACAAAGGGAACCACAAGGAGUGCAAGAACCUGCUGGAGGAAGGGAAGACCACCCUGGAUGGCAUGACUGAUGUGGAUCCAACAGUCCACGCUAGCUUCUACUGGAUAUCGUCUCAGUACCAUAAGUCGCUCCAAGAGUUUGCUGAGUUCUAUAAGAACGCACUUCUCUAUCUGGCCUACACAACCGUAGGGUCCCUCUCAGAGUCAUUCAAGCUGGACUUGGCAUUUGACCUUUCCCUUGCAGCCUUGCUGGGGGACAACAUCUACAACUUCGGGGAAUUGUUAGCUCACCCUAUUAUCAAUAGUCUUAUUGGGACCAAGGUGGAGUGGGUCUAUCACAUGUUACAAGCGUUCAACACCGGCAACCUAGCUCUCUACCAAGAGCUUUGUGGGGUUCACAAUGCUGCUCUUAGUGCACAGCCUGCAUUGGUGCAGAAUGAACAGAAACUGCUUGAGAAGAUCAAUAUUCUGUGUCUGAUGGAGAUAAUCUUCAGCCGGCCAUCAGAAGAUAGAACUAUCCCAUUAAGUGUUAUUGCCAAGCAGACUAAGCUUUCAACCAGCAAAGUGGAAUGUCUUCUUAUGAAGAGCCUCUCGGUUCAUCUCAUAGAAGGAAUCAUCGAUGAAGUUGACAGCACGGUUCAUGUUUCGUGGGUCCAGCCUAGAGUACUUGGCAUCCCACAGGUGAAGGCGUUGCGUGAGCGCCUGGACUCGUGGGUAGGCAAAGUGCAUACCACGCUGUUGUCCAUCGAGGCAGAGACCCCCGAUCUCGUGGCGGCUUAG